This 82-nucleotide transfer RNA is filed under the name Bacteroidales bacterium. Its description in RNAcentral is "tRNA-Tyr". It matches the Rfam family "tRNA". From Rfam's summary of the family: Transfer RNA (tRNA) molecules are approximately 80 nucleotides in length. Their secondary structure includes four short double-helical elements and three loops (D, anti-codon, and T loops). The record is from RNAcentral. Lineage: Bacteria; Pseudomonadati; Bacteroidota; Bacteroidia; Bacteroidales.
GCAAGAAGUGGCUGAGUGGUUUAGGCGAUGGACUGUAAAUCCACGGUGUAUGCCGACAUAGGUUCGAGUCCUAUCUUCUGCA